Molecule: non-coding RNA, 71 nt
Organism: Phrynosoma platyrhinos (Desert horned lizard)
Lineage: Eukaryota; Metazoa; Chordata; Lepidosauria; Squamata; Phrynosomatidae
Source: the annotation of a GenBank genome assembly
ACCAGAGUGGUAUAGUGGUUUGAUGUUAGACUACAGCUCUGGAGACCAGGGUUCAAUUCUCAGCUUGGCCA